Chelonia mydas (Green sea turtle) is the source of this 3330-nucleotide long non-coding RNA. RefSeq lists it as uncharacterized. The record is from RefSeq and is a predicted model, not a curated record. Lineage: Eukaryota; Metazoa; Chordata; Testudines; Cheloniidae. The transcript is spliced from 2 exons.
AAAGGGUUUUUCCUCUGGCCAGGAGGGAUUUUAAAGGUGUUUACCCUUCCCUUUAUAUUUAUGACAUGUACGCUGGGGAAUUUGCCUCAAUUUAUGACCCUGGCGGCCAUAGGCACAGCUGCAUUGGUAUAACCUCCAGUCCAGACAGGACAAAAGCACCAUAAGCCAUGAUUUGCACCAGUGCAGCUUGUUUCCACCAAUGCAAAUAGUGUAGAUGAGCAAAGCUGCUAUCUGCUUGCACUGGUGUAGCUGGCUGUAAUCAGGGUAAAUCCUCAGUGUGAAGAAAGCCUAAGUUUGGUGCUGUUGUAUAAGAUUUGUUAGAGGAAGGCUGCUGUCGUGAACUCCGUGUUUUGCUCUAGGAAUCCUUAUGAUGCAUAUGCUUUUAUCAUUCCACUGGCAUUCUGGGGUUAAUUAAUUUGGUUAGAGCCCAUUGAUCUCCUGAUGAUGUUGUUAGUGUCCUUCAGUGACACUGAAAUGCAAGUUGAUCCUCCGAGCAUGAGCAAGUGGCUAGGAGUGAGGUUAAUGAGUUAAUUACUUUUAUAGACUUACCAUAGAAACGAUUUUCAUGUUAUCUGUAAUUAGUGCUGUUCUUGCUCCUUGGGCUGGUUGUUCCUUCAUGCACACAGGUGCAUGCUGAAUAAUUAACUAAUCAGCCCAGGAAUAGUGGCCUUUGGUUUGUGAUCUCUGAAACCGUACAAGUCCUUAACAGGAAGGUGCAUGUGAGAAAAGCAUGGACUGAGUUGUGAGAAGCCUGAGAAGAGGGUGCAUUGUAGCUAGCCACCCACUGGGCCCGAUCCUUCUCCUGAUGGACUUGCUCCUGAUUUACCUCAGGGAAAAUACUGGAGGAGACUCACACCCCAGAUUCCCAGAGCUGCAGAUCAAGGACAUUUACACCACUUCUGGGGGAAUCCGAGAAUUGUCAGAGAUGCAGAUGUCAACCUAUGAAACUUUUGGAGCCUGCACUUCAUGUUGUGUCCUCCACCUGCGCCAGGAGACUUCGGCGGUCGCUCUGCUAGUGUUGUGCCAGGCAUUCAUGGGUCAACAAGUCAUGUGCUCUGCAGCUCUGCUCUCCAAGAGGGAGAGAAAUAGAAGAGAGUGCUUGUAAAAAUGGAGAUCAAUUUAGCUGUGCUUGUGAAGGUGUCAGCUGAAGUGACCGAUGCUAGUGCAACCAGAGAGCCAAUUGCUAAAAAUCCCAACUUCCAAUGCAAGGAUACUUUGGAACCUAUUGUAAUGUUAUCAUCCAUUUGGAGAACUUGUUUUGGUUUCUGGAGCCCAUCUGCAUUGUUUGGAAGCUUGUUGGUGUUAGCGUAACAUGUAACAAUAAGUGUCAAACUAUUUCCCAGGAACGCAAGUGAUUUAUUCUACUGAGCCAACUUCUACACUGAUUUAUGUUUUAUAACAUCGCCCACUAUGUAUUUAAGGACAAAUGCUACUCACAAAAACUAUAUCCUCUACAAAAGACUGUCUAAUUGGCACAGCUAGAAAGAGGCGGAAUAAAGAUUGCAUGCUAAGAAUGUCUAAUCCUAAGCCUGGAGCAUGGCCAGUGAUUUUUGGCACUUGCUUCUCAUGAAAUGCUGACUCAUUUGCAUUGUAGUUAGUAACUUUGAUUCAUGACUCUCCCUUCAAGAGGCCUGGACCCUCUCAAGCCUCCUCUUUUUCCAUACUGCCUUCUAUGCUGUCCCUUGCACUCUGUGGUUACUGCUCCUUGAAGUAGGAGCCAUGUCUUCCACUAUCUUUGUACGUCGCUGAGCUCCACAAGAAACAAUGAAGCGGGAGAGGUAAUGUAGACUAGUGGUCCCAGCAGGCAGCUGACAAGUGGGACAGUGCAGUUCAUAGAUUCCAAGGCCAGAAGGGACAACUGUGAUCAUUUUUUUUGACCUCUGAUAGAACACAGGCCAUAGAACUUCCACAAAGUAAUUCCUCGAUUUAAAAAUGGUCAGUGAUGGAAAAUCCACCACAACCCUUGUAAAUCGUUCCAAUGGUCAAUAAAUGGUUCUAUUGCCACCUCUCACACUGGCUCCCUGUAUGACCGUGAGCCAUUACCUGAAUCAUUCUGUGCCUCAGUUUCCCCAUCAGUGAAAUGGGGACAACCAUACAGAAGUGUUGAGACUUAGCUCAGGUAAAUGAAGGCAUGUUCAAAUCCUUGGGUGAAAGACACUAUAUAUCUGCAAAUCACAGUGGUUAAGUAGCAGGGCAAAAGGAAGUUGUUACAGCUGUGAUAUUAGUUUGGCAAAUGCUAAACUACACCAAAGUGUAUUUUUCUUUUCCAUUGAAAGGAGAUUUCUUGGCUUGAUCCCUUCUGUCUGUUGUGCCUGAGAUGUAUAGUACACGUGAAAUAGGAGCACAACAAACUGGAGGAAUUUAGGUAGGAAAAAUAGGUACCUGCCCCACCCUACCAGCAAGUUCCACCAAAUUCAUUUCACCCAGGCACCCCAAAGCCACAGGGAAAGCUGAUGUGCGUCUCCGCCACAGUCUGCUCUGGGAGCAAGGAAGGAGCCCUGGAGCUGCGAGGGUCCAGUUGCAAAGCAGAAGGAAGGGGCAUCGUACUUAGAUAACCUGUUCUCCUGCAGGUCUCCAGGACCUGUGCAGACUUCAGGGAUCCACAAUUUGGGGAGUGGAACUCCCGCUUCUUCCAUGGAAGGCACAAUACCUCUCUUUAAAAUGUAGAGAUCCCUUGGAAUUCUCCAAGUUUUAAUUCAGUAUUUGCACAGCCCUACAUGGCUAUUCCUGUGUAGGGAGAAAUGGGGCCCAUAACCAAGUGGUAGAAUUCAUACCAGCUGUUUAUCUAUGAAUAGACUGGAAAGCACCUAGAGCUGCAAGGAGCUAAAUAACAGCAGAUUGUCCUUCUGUGUUUUAUUAUUAUUUACUUGUUCAUUAUUUUUUCUUCUUGGUGCUGUACAGGAUCAAAAUAAAGAUAAGUCCCUCUGCCCUAAGGAGCAGAAUGAAAACGGAAUGUGACAGUGGCAUUGGGUAAAAUUCAGAGCGAAUGUAAGUGGGUGAAGCACCAUUGAAGUCAACGAGAUAAUACCCUCUUUCACCAGCUCUCUGCCUCUAUACACCAGCUUACAUAAAUGUUGGUUAGAAAUUGCAAGAGUUUUCCAGAGAAGGUCCAAUAAAUGUAACAGAAACAUGCUGAAACUAACCUAGUUAAGUGAUGUCAAAUCGUACCAAGAGUUCUAACGAAGCAGGUGAUGUGCAUCAUACUGAACUCCGCAAGCUUUCAGAAUGUCAUUAAAAAUCCAACUUAACUCUGACAGAGAGUUCAAGAAGAAACUGCCUCUUUUUUUUUUUUUUUGCAACUAACAUAGCCAUUAAAAUGAUUUUCUUCAA